UGUUAAUCCACUACACUUUGUGUCGAAUUUAGUGAAUAUCUCCUCACGGCCACCUAGCUCUCUAUUUUCUGUGUGCGCUGAAAAAAAAAUCCGGAGUUAAUCCACAGC
Sander lucioperca (pikeperch) is the source of this 108-nucleotide long non-coding RNA. RefSeq lists it as uncharacterized. The transcript has 3 exons. The record is from RefSeq and is a predicted model, not a curated record. Lineage: Eukaryota; Metazoa; Chordata; Actinopteri; Perciformes; Percidae.